RNAcentral lists this ribosomal RNA (124 nucleotides) under Beta vulgaris subsp. vulgaris (sugar beet). RNAcentral describes it as "partial 26S rRNA". Lineage: Eukaryota; Viridiplantae; Streptophyta; Magnoliopsida; Caryophyllales; Amaranthaceae. The record is from RNAcentral.
GUUGGUGUUAAAGGGAGAACUGCGAGGAGUCUAUACAAGUUCUCGGACGAGGUUUUUGAACAGAACUUCGAUAGGCGAGAGGUGUAAGCACCGCGAGGUGUGAAGCGAUCUCGUACUAAACGAA